This 206-nucleotide long non-coding RNA is filed under the name Pan troglodytes (chimpanzee). RNAcentral's name for it is "long non-coding RNA NONPTRT000271". Lineage: Eukaryota; Metazoa; Chordata; Mammalia; Primates; Hominidae. The record is from RNAcentral.
CCUUGAGGAUGACGCCGGCCUACAGCUCUGAUGACAGCUCUGGUGUUUGCCUCCCAUCUCACUGCUGCGAGGCCUCCAAAACGUACUUUCCCCUCUGAGCCUCAGUCUCCUCAAGUGUCAAAUGGAAACACUGAUGUCUCCUGCCAGAGCUGUGGCGAGAAUAAGAUACACCUGAGGUCCCCACCACCAUGGCUGGCACUUAGAAA